GCUUGCAUCCUUGUUGGUUAGCGGCGGACGGGUGAGUAACACGUGGGCAACCUGCCUGUAAGACUGGGAUAACUUCGGGAAACCGGAGCUAAUACCGGAUAAUUCCUUUCCUCACAUGAGGGAAGGCUGAAAGUCGGUUUCGGCUGACACUUACAGAUGGGCCCGCGGCGCAUUAGCUAGUUGGUGAGGUAACGGCUCACCAAGGCGACGAUGCGUAGCCGACCUGAGAGGGUGAUCGGCCACACUGGGACUGAGACACGGCCCAGACUCCUACGGGAGGCAGCAGUAGGGAAUCUUCCGCAAUGGACGAAAGUCUGACGGAGCAACGCCGCGUGAGCGAUGAAGGCCUUCGGGUCGUAAAGCUCUGUUGUUAGGGAAGAACAAGUACCGGAGUAACUGCCGGUACCUUGACGGUACCUAACCAGAAAGCCACGGCUAACUACGUGCCAGCAGCCGCGGUAAUACGUAGGUGGCAAGCGUUGUCCGGAAUUAUUGGGCGUAAAGCGCGCGCAGGCGGUCCUUUAAGUCUGAUGUGAAAGCCCACGGCUCAACCGUGGAGGGUCAUUGGAAACUGGGGGACUUGAGUGCAGAAGAGGAAAGCGGAAUUCCACGUGUAGCGGUGAAAUGCGUAGAGAUGUGGAGGAACACCAGUGGCGAAGGCGGCUUUCUGGUCUGUAACUGACGCUGAGGCGCGAAAGCGUGGGGAGC
Molecule: ribosomal RNA, 708 nt
Filed under: Bacillus sp. (in: firmicutes)
Lineage: Bacteria; Bacillati; Bacillota; Bacilli; Caryophanales; Bacillaceae
Description: bacterial SSU rRNA
Rfam family: Bacterial small subunit ribosomal RNA
Source: RNAcentral